This 1247-nucleotide ribosomal RNA is filed under the name Bacillus sp. (in: firmicutes). RNAcentral describes it as "bacterial SSU rRNA". It matches the Rfam family "Bacterial small subunit ribosomal RNA", at positions 139 to 1369 of the family's 1533-position model. The record is from RNAcentral. Lineage: Bacteria; Bacillati; Bacillota; Bacilli; Caryophanales; Bacillaceae.
UGGGAUAACUCCGGGAAACCCGGGGCUAAUACCGNAUGGUUGUUUGAACCGCAUGGUUCAAACAUAAAAGGUGGCUUCGGCUACCACUUACAGAUGGACCCGCGGCGCAUUAGCUAGUUGGUGAGGUAACGGCUCACCAAGGCAACGAUGCGUAGCCGACCUGAGAGGGUGAUCGGCCACACUGGGACUGAGACACGGCCCAGACUCCUACGGGAGGCAGCAGUAGGGAAUCUUCCGCAAUGGACGAAAGUCUGACGGAGCAACGCCGCGUGAGUGAUGAAGGUUUUCGGAUCGUAAAGCUCUGUUGUUAGGGAAGAACAAGUACCGUUNGAAUAGGGCGGUACCUUGACGGUACCUAACCAGAAAGCCACGGCUAACUACGUGCCAGCAGCCGCGGUAAUACGUAGGUGGCAAGCGUUGUCCGGAAUUAUUGGGCGUAAAGGGCUCGCAGGCGGUUUCUUAAGUCUGAUGUGAAAGCCCCCGGCUCAACCGGGGAGGGUCAUUGGAAACUGGGGAACUUGAGUGCAGAAGAGGAGAGUGGAAUUCCACGUGUAGCGGUGAAAUGCGUAGAGAUGUGGAGGAACACCAGUGGCGAAGGCGACUUUUCUGGGUCUGUAACUGACGCUGAGGAGCGAAAGCGUGGGGAGCGAACAGGAUUAGAUACCCUGGUAGUCCACGCCGUAAACGAUGAGUGCUAAGUGUUAGGGGGUUUCCGCCCCUUAGUGCUGCAGCUAACGCAUUAAGCACUCCGCCUGGGGAGUACGGUCGCAAGACUGAAACUCAAAGGAAUUGACGGGGGCCCGCACAAGCGGUGGAGCAUGUGGUUUAAUUCGAAGCAACGCGAAGAACCUUACCAGGUCUUGACAUCCUCUGACAAUCCUAGAGAUAGGACGUCCCCUUCGGGGGCAGAGUGACAGGUGGUGCAUGGUUGUCGUCAGCUCGUGUCGUGAGAUGUUGGGUUAAGUCCCGCAACGAGCGCAACCCUUGAUCUUAGUUGCCAGCAUUCAGUUGGGCACUCUAAGGUGACUGCCGGUGACAAACCGGAGGAAGGUGGGGAUGACGUCAAAUCAUCAUGCCCCUUAUGACCUGGGCUACACACGUGCUACAAUGGACAGAACAAAGGGCAGCGAAACCGCGAGGUUAAGUCAAUCCCACAAAUCUGUUCUCAGUUCGGAUCGCAGUCUGCAACUCGACUGCGUGAANCUGGAAUCGCUAGUAAGCGCGGAUCACCAUGCCGCGGUGAAUAC